Molecule: ribosomal RNA, 473 nt
Filed under: uncultured bacterium
Lineage: Bacteria
Description: bacterial SSU rRNA
Rfam family: Bacterial small subunit ribosomal RNA
Source: RNAcentral
UGGGGAAUAUUGCGCAAUGGGCGAAAGCCUGACGCAGCAACGCCGCGUGAGUGAUGAAGGCCUUCGGGUCGUAAAGCUCUGUCGGAGGGAACGAAUGCUCUUGAGGUUAACAGCCUCGGGAGGUGACGGUACCCUCAAAGGAAGCACCGGCUAACUCUGUGCCAGCAGCCGCGGUAAUACAGAGGGUGCAAGCGUUGUUCGGAUUUACUGGGCGUAAAGGGCGCGUAGGCGGCAUGACAAGUCACUUGUGAAAUCUCUGGGCUUAACCCAGAACGGCCAAGUGAUACUGUCGCGCUAGAGUGCAGAAGGGGCAAUCGGAAUUCUUGGUGUAGCGGUGAAAUGCGUAGAUAUCAAGAGGAACACCUGAGGUGAAGACGGGUUGCUGGGCUGACACUGACGCUGAGGCGCGAAAGCCAGGGGAGCAAACGGGAUUAGAUACCCAAGUAGUCCCUGAGCGGGCUGGCAAGGCGCAU